AGAGAGAAGUAAAAACCCUGAAGGAUGGUUCUCAAAAAUUCUAAAGGAACCACAGGGAAUUCCUUUUAAGAGCAACAGAAAGCAAGCCUAGCUGAGACUCCUCACUGCGGUCAGAGCCUGCAGCCUCUCCCUACUCCCACUGGUCCUUGGCCAGCAGCUCCUGACACCCAGAGGAUUCAGCUUGGGGUAUGUGUUCACUCGAGCCAGUGCUUAUUCCAAGCAUUGAGCUUGCUCUUCGCUGAACUUACUCUUCUGUUGCCAGUAAAAAUGUAGCCACUCAGUCCUGGGUGUGUUUGUAACAGCAUGGGAAAGCAAGAGUUUUAGAUACUGGAUAUUUUUUGUGAUGAAGAGCAUGGAGGCAGCCUCUCUUCAUUUGCCUAGGAACUGAACUCAGAACCUUUGUACUCCAUGACAUUAUUCUGACAUGAAAGGCACAAGGUCUGGAUGUGGGAUUGUCGAUCACAGAAAUUUCUGUGCAAUAUGUUAACUCUGUUUAAAUG
RNAcentral lists this long non-coding RNA (500 nucleotides) under Equus asinus (donkey). Its description in RNAcentral is "lncRNA (ENSEASG00005029781.1)". The record is from RNAcentral. Lineage: Eukaryota; Metazoa; Chordata; Mammalia; Perissodactyla; Equidae.